GUGCUUAACACAUGCAAGUCGAGUGCGCGCCCGUAGCAAUACGGGUGGCGCACGGCGCACGGGUGCGUAACACGUGGGCAAUCUGCCCUCGGAUGGGGGAUAACCCCGCGAAAGCGGGGCUAAUACCGCAUGACAUUCCGAAGACUCCGGUCUUUGGACUCAAAGGCCGCAAGGCCGUCUGAGGAGGAGCCCGCGCCCGAUUAGCUAGUUGGUGAGGUAACGGCUCACCAAGGCUUUGAUCGGUAGCCGGUCUGAGAGGAUGGCCGGCCACACUGGAACUGAGAUACGGUCCAG
Molecule: ribosomal RNA, 294 nt
Filed under: uncultured bacterium
Lineage: Bacteria
Description: partial 16S ribosomal RNA
Rfam family: Bacterial small subunit ribosomal RNA
Source: RNAcentral